Molecule: non-coding RNA, 627 nt
Organism: Myodes glareolus (Bank vole)
Lineage: Eukaryota; Metazoa; Chordata; Mammalia; Rodentia; Cricetidae
Source: RefSeq, a predicted model, not a curated record
UCCUUCACAAUGAGUAAACCAGUCCUGUCAGCCUUUUUUCACUUCUCCCUCUGUGGAGCUGCUGCUUGCAUCACACAGAGGGAGAGACUUUAGAAGGCUGCCAUAAUCUUCAGGACGGAGUUCCAGCAGUCCACCUGCAAACUGGGUUUCCUCUUUAUAAAGGAGUCCAGAACAUUCAGAGAAAGAAGAAUCCAAUUUUCCAAGCGAGGGUACCUGUGGACUACCUGACACCUGAGGCUAAGAAAAGACAAAAAAAACAGAUCAAUGCUGCUGACAGGGCUGCCGCCUUCCACAGCUCCAGUGCUAGGAAGAGGAAAGAGGCUGCAAAGCUUCUGAGUCGCUUCCUCUCGGAGGGAACUAUUUGGCCAAGCAGGGUCCUCUGUUCAGCCCACACCUAUUCACAGAACUGGAGUUCCACAGAGAGGGCAAAUGGGAUGGUAAGUGCUUUUCAAGUUCAAAGCAUUUUACUUCUAAUACAAUACUAUGUUUUUAAACUCCUAGCAAUUUAAAAAUUCUGACCGAAUGAUAUUCUAUAGCUGUGUAUUGCCUUCCAAUGGUUCCCAACCUUCCUAAUGCUUUGACCCUUUAAUAUUUAUAGUUCCUCAUGUUGUGGUAACUCCUAACCAU